Molecule: ribosomal RNA, 497 nt
Filed under: uncultured bacterium
Lineage: Bacteria
Description: partial 16S ribosomal RNA
Rfam family: Bacterial small subunit ribosomal RNA
Source: RNAcentral
GAUGAACGCUGGCGGCGUGCCUAAUACAUGCAAGUCGAGCGAACAGACGAGGAGCUUGUUCCUCUGACGUUAGCGGCGGACGGGUGAGUAACACGUGGAUAACCUACCUAUAAGACUGGGAUAACUUCGGGAAACCGGAGCUAAUACCGGAUAAUAUAUUGAACCGCAUGGUUCAAUAGUGAAAGACGGUUUUGCUGUCACUUAUAGAUGGAUCCGCGCCGCAUUAGCUAGUUGGUAAGGUAACGGCUUACCAAGGCGACGAUGCGUAGCCGACCUGAGAGGGUGAUCGGCAACACUGGAACUGAGACCCGGUCCAGACUCAUACGGGAGGGAGCAGUAGGGAAUCUUCCGCGAUGGGCGAAAGCGUGACGGAGCAACGCCGCGUGGGUGAUGAAGGUCUUCGGGUCGUAAAACUCUGUUAUUAGGGAAGAACAAAUGUGUAAGUAACUGUGCACGUCUGGACGGUACCUAAUCAGAAAGCCACGGCUAACUACGUG